GCAGAAGGCUCAACAGAACGCCAGAUUACUAUCACUGGAUCCCCUGCCAACAUAAGCCUUGCACAGUACCUCAUUAAUGCAAGGCUAACAUCUGAAGUCUCUGGAAUGGGCUCACUUUAAUUGUUUCUUCAUCUCCUGCUGUUUGUGUCAUGUUACCCACCUACAUAAACCACAAGCAACCUGCUAUCGCACCCUGUUUGUAAAAUUUGUAUAUUACAGUCUUGCCUCAUAGACAAUACUUAAUGUUAAAUUUUAAGGAAUUAUUCUGAACUACUUUUCUAAUUCCAAUGCUUUCUGGCUAGACCCUCCUUUCCCAUUGCUUCGUGCUUUAAUGUAGGUUUUUGGUUCCACGUUUAAAUUAACUAUUGCUUGCGAAAAGUGUAUUUGCAGACUAUUUCUUCUGUAUACUUUUUAGUUCAGUAAUUACUGGUAACAUGAUUGCAAACUCUUUUUAUAAAAAAAAAACAACCUUGAUGUAAUCCAAUUAUUUGUAGUUGUUCUAUUUGGUUAUAAUAAAGGAAGGCACAUGUCCUGCUAUGUGCUGAAAUACAACCUA
This is a long non-coding RNA of Stegostoma tigrinum, 556 nucleotides long. RefSeq lists it as uncharacterized. The transcript is spliced from 2 exons. The record is from RefSeq and is a predicted model, not a curated record. NCBI's taxonomy places the organism in Eukaryota, Metazoa, Chordata, Chondrichthyes, Orectolobiformes, Stegostomatidae.